RNAcentral lists this long non-coding RNA (1506 nucleotides) under Salvia miltiorrhiza (redroot sage). Its description in RNAcentral is "long non-coding RNA (SMIL_LNC008365)". The record is from RNAcentral. Lineage: Eukaryota; Viridiplantae; Streptophyta; Magnoliopsida; Lamiales; Lamiaceae.
ACACUUAAAGAAGGUCUCAAACAACUAUAAUAAUUUUCGAGCAGAUAGCCAGAUAUAUAGUACUCCAUCUCCAUAUAUAAUGCUACUACAAAUUUUUGAGAGCCCCAACCACAAUAUUUAUUAAUUCAAUAAACACAACAUAAUAUAAAUACAGAGAGACAUUCACUUUUAGGGUUUCAGCCGCUACCUUUGAAUUCUAGAGUGUUCUCCACUUCUCCCAAAAUUCUCUCUCAUUAGAUCCGCCCUUCUCACUUUGCAGAUCCAACCAUCCAUACAUCUUCUACAAUUCAAGUCUUCUCCACAAGCCACGCAGCUGCAACCGCUCCACGCGUCGUCACCUCCCUUCUCGACGACGAUAAAUGCGCCGCCGUUUUCCUCUGCACAGCCCGCAGCCGCCGCCGUCCGGUUUCAUAUGAUGUAACCUUAGAGGCGGGAUCCUCCACCACUGUACGAAGAUUUGGUGGCAUUGCCUCGUUAGCGCCUCCCUCAACAACAAUAAAUUCGCCGCCGCCUCCCUCUGCACAGCCCGUAUCCAGCCGCCGCCGUCCGGGUUUCAAACGACGGCGUCGCCCUUCAGAUCUCGGCCUUCUCCCUCAUCUGCAUAAGAUCUUAUUUUUUUUUCGUUUAUUAGUGUUGUCGUUUUUUAUUUUUAUUUUUUGUUUUGUUUUUAUAGUCUAUCUAUUUUUGUAGUAUCUGAAUAUCUAUUUUAGUAAAAGUAAAAGUUUUUUUUUUUUUUUUUUGCAGAUAGCUUUUUUUUUAAUACCAUGGAAGAUAUAUUUUUUAGCAUACGUAUUAGUUUUUUCGUUUUUGAGUUGUUUAUUUAUUUUUUGUGUUUAUGUUAUUAUUUUGCUAGAUCUAUGGAUAUCUGCACAAAUGGCUUACAAUGUAACUAAAUAUGUGUACUCUUAGCUGGUGUUUCUUUGGUGCUGUUCUUCUGGCUGGUGUGUGUUUCUUUGGUGCUCUUAUGUAGGUGAUAUGUCUUUUAUUUUGGUUUCUGUCGUUUUGGAGCUAAUUUGCGUUAACUUGCAGAUUAAUGGUACCCUCCCUCACGUCACUCCUCUCCCUUCACCUUUUCUACGCAUUCUCAGUCUCGCCAUUGUUUAUCAGGUAUCAUCAUCAACACGUUUCUUCUUCCCGUCUCUCUUCCAUUCUAUUCAUAAAUAGUUUCUCUAACUUGGCUAUUUUACACUUUUUUUCAUAAUUAUGGAACGCAUGCUGGAAGCACUAUAGGUUGGAAAAUGAAAGAAAGCAUCCACAUAAAUAAAUAUAAUGAACUAUUUUUUAGUGUUCAAUAAUGUUCUUGAGACAAAUAAAUGAAAAAUUAUGAAAAUGAUUUCAUAGUCUUCUAUCAAAAUUUCCCAACAAAUUAAGAUGUAGAUUACAAAUAAAUGAUUUACUAAUGUAAAUGAUUUCAUAGUCUUCUACCAGAAUUUUGAAGUAAUUCUUCUUCUUGAUGCCUACUUGCUGUAAAUCUUGAAUAUAUCAUUUCUUCUUCUUUAUACAUAC